UCUCGAUGGGAUACAAUUUGCGAGGGACGAAUAUUUUGUGGUGCACUCGAAUGGAAAAAUUAGGAAUCAACAAUAGUCUUUGGUGUUCGUUUAAUCGUUGUUGGAUUUUUUGGCCUACAGAUUGUUCGAUCACUGUAUCAACUAAUUUAACUUGGGAGUUUGGAACUUAGGACUGUUGCGAAUGUGACCUACUGUAUAGGCUAAUGUAAUUUCUAUUGAAAGCUAUUUCUUCAAAUUAUGAUUAUGAGGGUAGUUUAUGUUAGUUUCUGUGUUACUAGUUGAUAGAGAGAAUUUAGCCGUGAUUUUGACUGUGUCGACAGAGACUUUCAUCUUUUCAUGUAUAGAGCUUUAAGCACCGAUUGGUGGAUGAGUAAAAUUAAUGGUUUUUAUCAUACAAAUUUCAGUUUCAUUUUUACAAGUAUUAGCUAACGUAUGUUGCUGGUUUGUAGGUUUAUCUGUCUUUAUGUUGUGCUCUUAUCACUUUGGCUAUUGGAGCUUAUCUUCACAUCCUCUGGAAUAUUGGAGGUUUCCUCAUGACCACAGGUUCUAUGGGAAGCUUGGUUUGGCUACUCUCGACCCCUCCAUACGAAGAGGUAGUCAUUGUUGCAUUUUUCCUUAUUUGUUUUCCUUUAGUCUUUUUUUGGAUCCAUCUUUUGAUCAAUUGAAGUUGCUUUCUUGCCAUUUCCAUUUUUCUUUUUUUUGUUUUUCCUGUUUGUUGGUUAAAAAUAGAUACACUUAUGCGAUUGUUUAGCGGUGAUGAUAUUAUACAUCUCUUUAUUCGUGUCUGGCUGUUAAAAAUAUUCUGAUGGUUCCUGGAUUAUGGCCAAGUACACUGACUUCAUGGCGAAUCUGACCAGCAUCAAUGGAAGUUAGAUGGAUGUGGUUCAAAUGACCUUAAUUCGGGCUUCUUUUCAUUUCGGAUUAACAAGUAAAAUUUUAGGCAAUCGAAGUCGCUGAUAGAGGAUCAUGGCAAAAAAAAUGGCAAUCAGUUCCCAGAAGAAGGAUUAUAACGAGAGCCCUUCGGACUACAAUGGCAAGUCUUUUGCCCAUGUAGUGCCAACCUCAACUUGCAGCUGGUCACUAAUGCCUUGUUAUCGCUAAAGAUUAUGUUUAAGAAGGAGUAUUUCUUCACAAGACCAGCUGGCAAUGUUUGUCUCCAAUUCCUUGAUUCAUCCAACCUUAUUUGAGGCAAAUAGACCAGGCCCACUGAGUGUGGUAAUGUUUGGAAAGGUCUAAUUUUGAUGUUAUAAUUUGCUGGAAACUUGGGACUAUUGAUCAGAUCAAGGAUGUGUGUUAGGGUUGGUAGGAAUGUGUAUCGGGUAAAUCGACUCUGAUGAUGAGGACCAAUUUCUGCGUCUUUUCUUCUUAUUUUUUAAGGUAGAUAGAGAGGAGAGUUAAAGCUUUUUAUAGUUUAUUCAGUCCACAUGAACAUGGAAGUUUAAUGAUGUUUUUAGGUUUAGGGCCAAAUAGGUAACAAAUUCAAAUGGCUGAUUUUAUCUACCAAUUUGAUCUGUUGUCUUUGUCGGUUAAAAAUAGAUACAACUUUAUG
This is a long non-coding RNA of Rhododendron vialii, 1549 nucleotides long. RefSeq lists it as uncharacterized. The record is from RefSeq and is a predicted model, not a curated record. The transcript has 3 exons. NCBI's taxonomy places the organism in Eukaryota, Viridiplantae, Streptophyta, Magnoliopsida, Ericales, Ericaceae.